GCAAAACGCGAAGAACCUUACCAAGGCUUGACAUCCCUCUGACCGAUUUAGAGAUAGAUCUUUCCCUUCGGGGACAGAGGUGACAGGUGGUGCAUGGUUGUCGUCAGCUCGUGUCGUGAGAUGUUGGGUUAAGUCCCGCAACGAGCGCAACCCUUAUCUUUAGUUGCCAGCAUUUAGUUGGGCACUCUAGAGAGACUGCCGGUGACAAACCGGAGGAAGGUGGGGAUGACGUCAAAUCAUCAUGCCCCUUAUGUCUUGGGCUACACACGUGCUACAAUGGUUGGUACAAAGGGCUGCAAGCCAGCGAUGGUUAGCCAAUCCCAUAAAGCCAAUCUCAGUUCGGAUUGUAGGCUGCAACUCGCCUACAUGAAGUCGGAAUCGCUAGUAAUCGCAGAUCAGCAUGCUGCGGUGAAUACGUUCCCGGGUCUUGUACACACCG
Molecule: ribosomal RNA, 439 nt
Filed under: uncultured bacterium
Lineage: Bacteria
Description: bacterial SSU rRNA
Rfam family: Bacterial small subunit ribosomal RNA
Source: RNAcentral